GACGAUGAUGCCCUUCGGGGUGGAUUAGUGGCGAACGGGUGAGUAACACGUGAGCAACCUGCCCUUGACUCUGGGAUAAGCCUGGGAAGCUGGGUCUAAUACCGGAUAUUGCCUCCUGCCGCAUGGUGGGGGGUGGAAAGCCUUGUGCGGUCUUGGAUGGGCUCGCGGCCUAUCAGCUUGUUGGUGGGGUGAUGGCCUACCAAGGCGACGACGGGUAGCCGGCCUGAGAGGGUGACCGGCCACACUGGGACUGAGACACGGCCCAGACUCCUACGGGAGGCAGCAGUGGGGAAUAUUGCACAAUGGGCGCAAGCCUGAUGCAGCGACGCCGCGUGGGGGAUGACGGCCUUCGGGUUGUAAACCCCUUUCGGCGGGGAACAAGCCCUUCGGGGUGAGGGUACCCGCGGAAGAAGCGCCGGCUAACUACGUGCCAGCAGCCGCGGUAAUACGUAGGGCGCGAGCGUUAUCCGGAAUUAUUGGGCGUAAAGAGCUCGUAGGCGGUUUGUCGCGUCUGCUGUGAAAGCCCGGGGCUCAACCCCGGGUCUGCAGUGGGUACGGGCAGGCUGGAGUGCAGUAGGGGAGACUGGAAUUCCUGGUGUAGCGGUGAAAUGCGCAGAUAUCAGGAGGAACACCGAUGGCGAAGGCAGGUCUCUGGGCUGUAACUGACGCUGAGGAGCGAAAGCGUGGGGAGCGAACAGGAUUAGAUACCCUGGUAGUCCACGCCGUAAACGUUGGGCACUAGGUGUGGGG
This 750-nucleotide ribosomal RNA is filed under the name Arthrobacter sp. RNAcentral describes it as "bacterial SSU rRNA". It matches the Rfam family "Bacterial small subunit ribosomal RNA", at positions 65 to 827 of the family's 1533-position model. Lineage: Bacteria; Bacillati; Actinomycetota; Actinomycetes; Micrococcales; Micrococcaceae. The record is from RNAcentral.